RNAcentral lists this ribosomal RNA (370 nucleotides) under uncultured bacterium. RNAcentral describes it as "partial 16S ribosomal RNA". It matches the Rfam family "Bacterial small subunit ribosomal RNA", at positions 338 to 705 of the family's 1533-position model. The record is from RNAcentral.
CCUACGGGGGGCAGCAGUGAGGAAUAUUGGUCAAUGGGCGCGAGCCUGAACCAGCCAAGUCGCGUGAGGGAUGACGGUCCUACGGAUUGUAAACCUCUUUUGCCGGGGAGCAAGCGUGCGUUCGUGAACGCACGUCGAGAGUACCCGGAGAAAAAGCAUCGGCUAACUCCGUGCCAGCAGCCGCGGUAAUACGGAGGAUGCGAGCGUUAUCCGGAUUUUUUGGGUUUAAAGGGUGCGUAGGGGGGAUGCCAAGUCAGCGGUAAAAAUGCGGGGCUAAACCCCGGCGAGCCGGUGAAACUGGCGUUGUGGAGUGGGCGAGAAGUAGGCGGAAUGCGUGGGGGAGCGGUGAAAUGCAUAGAUAGCACGCAGA